UUAAUUGAAGAGUUUGAUCAUGGCUCAGAUUGAACGCUGGCGGCAGGCCUAACACAUGCAAGUCGAGCGGUAGCACAAGGAGCUUGCUCCUGGGUGACGAGCGGCGGACGGGUGAGUAAUGUCUGGGAAACUGCCCGAUGGAGGGGGAUAACUACUGGAAACGGUAGCUAAUACCGCAUAACGUCUUCGGACCAAAGUGGGGGACCUUCGGGCCUCACACCAUCGGAUGUGCCCAGAUGGGAUUAGCUAGUAGGUGAGGUAAUGGCUCACCUAGGCGACGAUCCCUAGCUGGUCUGAGAGGAUGACCAGCCACACUGGAACUGAGACACGGUCCAGACUCCUACGGGAGGCAGCAGUGGGGAAUAUUGCACAAUGGGCGCAAGCCUGAUGCAGCCAUGCCGCGUGUGUGAAGAAGGCCUUCGGGUUGUAAAGCACUUUCAGCGAGGAGGAAGGGUUCGGUGUUAAUAGC
RNAcentral lists this ribosomal RNA (469 nucleotides) under Serratia fonticola. RNAcentral describes it as "bacterial SSU rRNA". It matches the Rfam family "Bacterial small subunit ribosomal RNA", at positions 1 to 467 of the family's 1533-position model. The record is from RNAcentral. Lineage: Bacteria; Pseudomonadati; Pseudomonadota; Gammaproteobacteria; Enterobacterales; Yersiniaceae.